UGGGGAAUAUUGGACAAUGGGCGCAAGCCUGAUCCAGCAAUGCCGCGUGGAUGAAGAAGGUCUUCGGAUUGUAAAGUCCUUUCGGCGGGGACGAUGAUGACGGUACCCGCAGAAGAAGCCCCGGCUAACUUCGUGCCAGCAGCCGCGGUAAUACGAAGGGGGCUAGCGUUGCUCGGAAUUACUGGGCGUAAAGGGCGCGUAGGCGGAUGAUUUAGUCAGGCGUGAAAGCCCCGGGCUCAACCUGGGAAUUGCGCUUGAAACGGGUCAUCUUGAGGGCGAGAGAGGGUGGUGGAAUUCCCAGUGUAGAGGUGAAAUUCGUAGAUAUUGGGAAGAACACCGGUGGCGAAGGCGGCCACCUGGCUCGCACCUGACGCUGAGGCGCGAAAGCGUGGGGAGCAAA
This 400-nucleotide ribosomal RNA is filed under the name uncultured bacterium. RNAcentral describes it as "bacterial SSU rRNA". It matches the Rfam family "Bacterial small subunit ribosomal RNA", at positions 355 to 772 of the family's 1533-position model. The record is from RNAcentral.